This 692-nucleotide ribosomal RNA is filed under the name uncultured bacterium. Its description in RNAcentral is "bacterial SSU rRNA". It matches the Rfam family "Bacterial small subunit ribosomal RNA", at positions 807 to 1501 of the family's 1533-position model. The record is from RNAcentral.
CGAUGCACACUAGUUGUUGCUAUACUAGAUAUAGCAGUAAUGCAGUUAACACAGUAAGUGUGCCGCCUGGGGAGUACGGUCGCAAGAUUAAAACUCAAAGGAAUAGACGGGGACCCGCACAAGCGGUGGAGCAUGUGGUUUAAUUCGACGAUACGCGAAGAACCUUACCUGGCCUUGACAUAGAAAGAACUUACUAGAGAUAGUUUGGUGCUAGCUUGCUAGAACUUUCAUACAGGUGCUGCACGGCUGUCGUCAGCUCGUGUCGUGAGAUGUUGGGUUAAGUCCCGCAACGAGCGCAACCCUCGUGUUUAGUUACUAACAGUUCGGCUGAGGACUCUAGACAGACUGCCUUCGCAAGGAGGAGGAAGGUGAGGACGACGUCAAGUCAUCAUGGCCCUUACGGCCAGGGCUACACACGUGCUACAAUGGGGUAUACAAAGAGCAGCAAUACGGUGACGUGGAGCAAAUCUCAUAAAAUAUCUCCCAGUUCGGAUUGUAGUCUGCAACUCGACUACAUGAAGUUGGAAUCGCUAGUAAUCGUAGAUCAGCUAUGCUACGGUGAAUACGUUCCCGGGUCUUGUACUCACCGCCCGUCACACCAUGGGAGUUGAUUUCAUUCGAAGCGGGGAUGCUAAAAUAGCUACCUUCCACAGUGGAAUUAGCGACUAGGGUGAAGUCGUAACAAGGUAACC